Molecule: ribosomal RNA, 753 nt
Filed under: uncultured Methanosaeta sp.
Lineage: Archaea; Methanobacteriati; Methanobacteriota; Methanomicrobia; Methanotrichales; Methanotrichaceae
Description: bacterial SSU rRNA
Rfam family: Archaeal small subunit ribosomal RNA
Source: RNAcentral
GGACAACCUGCCCUUAGGACGGGGAUAAACCCGGGAAACUGGGUAUAAUACCCGAUAGGUCUCGAUUGCAGGAAUGCAUCGAGAUUUAAAGCUCCGGCGCCUAAGGAUGGGUCUGCGGCCUAUCAGGUAGUAGUGGGUGUAGCGUACCUACUAGCCUACGACGGGUACGGGUUGUGAGAGCAAGAGCCCGGAGAUGGAUUCUGAGACACGAAUCCAGGCCCUACGGGGUGCAGCAGGCGCGAAAACUUUACAAUGCUGGCAACAGCGAUAAGGGAACCUCGAGUGCCAGGUUACAAAUCUGGCUGUCGAGAUGCCUAAAAAGCAUUUCAUAGCAAGGGCCGGGCAAGACCGGUGCCAGCCGCCGCGGUAACACCGGCGGCUCGAGUGGUAGCCGUUAUUAUUGGGUCUAAAGGGUCUGUAGCCGGCCGGAUAAGUCUCUUGAGAAAUCUGGCAGCUUAACUGUCAGGCUUUCAGGAGAUACUGUCUGGCUCGAGGCCGGGAGAGGUGAGAGGUACUUCAGGGGUAGGGGUGAAAUCUUGUAAUCCUUGAAGGACCGCCAGUGGCGAAGGCGUCUCACCAGAACGGACCUGACGGCAAGGGACGAAAGCUAGGGGCACGAACCGGAUUAGAUACCCGGGUAGUCCUAGCCGUAAACGAUACUCGCUAGGUGUCGGCCACGGUGCGACCGUUGUCGGUGCCGUAGGGAAGCCGUGAAGCGAGCCACCUGGGAAGUACGGCCGCAAGGCUGAAACU